GACGAACGCUGGCGGCGUGCCUAACACAUGCAAGUCGAACGGUGAAGCACAGCUUGCUGGGUGGAUCAGUGGCGAACGGGUGAGUAACACGUGGGUAACCUGCCCUCAAGCAGGGGAUAACACUUGGAAACAGGUGCUAAUACCGUAUAACAACAAAAACCGCAUGGUUUUUGUUUGAAAGAUGGUUUCGGCUAUCACUUGAGGAUGGACCCGCGGCGUAUUAGCUAGUUGGUGAGGUAAUGGCUCACCAAGGCAAUGAUACGUAGCCGACCUGAGAGGGUAAUCGGCCACAUUGGGACUGAGACACGGCCCAAACUCCUACGGGAGGCAGCAGUAGGGAAUCUUCCACAAUGGACGAAAGUCUGAUGGAGCAACGCCGCGUGAGUGAAGAAGGGUUUCGGCUCGUAAAACUCUGUUGUUAAAGAAGAACAGGUGUAAGAGUAACUGUUUACACCGUGACGGUAUUUAACCAGAAAGCCACGGCUAACUACGUGCCAGCCGCGGUAAGAC
This 510-nucleotide ribosomal RNA is filed under the name uncultured bacterium. RNAcentral's name for it is "bacterial SSU rRNA". It matches the Rfam family "Bacterial small subunit ribosomal RNA", at positions 28 to 526 of the family's 1533-position model. The record is from RNAcentral.